GUGCUUGCUUCAGCAGCACAUAUGUUGAAUUUGAAAUGAUACAGAGAAGAUUACCAAUGUCCCUGCACAAGGAUGAUACACAAAUUAAUGAAGUGUUCCAAAUUUUU
Small nuclear RNA from Heterocephalus glaber (naked mole-rat), 107 nucleotides. The record is from Ensembl. NCBI's taxonomy places the organism in Eukaryota, Metazoa, Chordata, Mammalia, Rodentia, Bathyergidae.